UCCUCGGUAGCUCAAUUGGCAGAGCACUUGGCUGUUAACCAGGGGGUUCUUGGUUCGAGUCCAAGCCGGGGAGCCA
This 76-nucleotide transfer RNA is filed under the name Armatimonadota bacterium. Its description in RNAcentral is "Armatimonadetes bacterium (hot springs metagenome) tRNA-Asn". It matches the Rfam family "tRNA". From Rfam's summary of the family: Transfer RNA (tRNA) molecules are approximately 80 nucleotides in length. Their secondary structure includes four short double-helical elements and three loops (D, anti-codon, and T loops). The record is from RNAcentral. Lineage: Bacteria; Bacillati; Armatimonadota.